CCUACGGGAGGCAGCAGUGAGGAAUAUUGGUCAAUGGACGAGAGUCUGAACCAGCCAAGUAGCGUGAAGGAUGACUGCCCUAUGGGUUGUAAACUUCUUUUAUAUGGGAAUAAAAUGUUCCACGUGUGGGAUUUUGUAUGUACCAUAUGAAUAAGGAUCGGCUAACUCCGUGCCAGCAGCCGCGGUAAUACGGAGGAUCCGAGCGUUAUCCGGAUUUAUUGGGGUUAAAGGGAGCGUAGGUGGAUUGUUAAGUCAGUUGUGAAAGUUUGGGGCUCAACCGUAAAAUUGCAGUUGAAACUGGCAGUCUUGAGUACAGUAGAGGUAGGCGGAAUUCGUGGUGUAGCGGUGAAAUGCGUAGAUAUCACGAAGAACUCCGAUUGCGAAGGCAGUUCACUGGACUGCAACUGACACUGAGGCUCGAAAGUGUGGGUAUCAAACAGGAUUAGAUACCCGUGUAGUC
RNAcentral lists this ribosomal RNA (460 nucleotides) under uncultured bacterium. Its description in RNAcentral is "partial 16S ribosomal RNA". It matches the Rfam family "Bacterial small subunit ribosomal RNA", at positions 338 to 795 of the family's 1533-position model. The record is from RNAcentral.